RNAcentral lists this ribosomal RNA (1545 nucleotides) under metagenome. Its description in RNAcentral is "bacterial SSU rRNA". It matches the Rfam family "Bacterial small subunit ribosomal RNA". The record is from RNAcentral.
GGAGUUUGAUCCUGGCUCAGAGUGAACGCUGGCGGCGUGGAUUAGGCAUGCAAGUCGAGCGAUCCUUGCUGGAAAUUUAUUGAAAUGCUUGCAUGGAUGUAAAUGGAAGGCUCUGGAUAGCGGCAAACGGGUGAGGAACACGUGAACAAUCUUCCCUCGAAUUGAACAUAGCUUCGUGAAAACGGAGGUAAUAUUCGAUAAGAUCAUAGUGGCAUAAGCCACAGUGCUUAAAGGCGGGGACCGCAAGGCCCGCCGUUUGAGGAUGAGUUCGCGUCCUAUCAGCUUGUUGGCGGGGUAACGGCCCACCAAGGCUAAGACGGGUAGCUGGUCUAAGAGGAUGGUCAGCCACACUGGGACUGAGACACUGCCCAGACUCCUACGGGAGGCUGCAGUCGAGAAUAUUUAGCAAUGGACGCAAGUCUGACUAUGCGACGCCGCGUGAGGGGUGAAGGUUUUCGGAUCGUAAACCUCUUUUUUUCAGGAGAGAAAAUCUUUGGUCUAAUACAUCAAAGACUGACGGUACCUGAAGAAUAAGCCACGGCCAACUCCGUGCCAGCAGCCGCGGUAAUACGGAGGUGGCAAGCGUUACUCGGAUUCAUUGGGUGUAAAGGGCAAGUAGGCGGUCAAGUAAGUGAGGGGUGAAAUCUUCCGGCUCAAUCGGAAAACUGCCUUUCAAACUGCUAGACUUGAGGUAGGAAGAGGGAAAUGGAAUUCUCGGUGUAAGGGUGAAAUCUGUAGAUAUCGAGAAGAACACCAGCGGCGAAGGCGAUUUCCUGGUCCUAUCCUGACGCUGAAUUGCGAAAGCUAGGGGAGCAAACAGAAUUAGAUACUCUGGUAGUCCUAGCUGUAAACGAUGAGCACUAGGUGUUGGGUCUUCGGACUCAGUGCCGCAGCUAACGCAUUAAGUGCUCCACCUGGGGACUACGGCCGCAAGGCUAAAACUCAAAGGAAUUGACGGGGGCCCGCACAAGCGGUGGAACAUGUGGUUCAAUUCGAUGCUACGCGAGGAACCUCACCAGGGUUUGACAUGCAGGAAGUAGUGAACUGAAAGGGAAUCCACCUGUCAAGUCAGGAGCCUGCACAGGUGCUGCAUGGCUGUCGUCAGCUCGUGUCGUGAGAUGUUGGGUUAAGUCCCGCAACGAGCGCAACCAUUGUCUUCUGUUGCUACCUUGCUAUACCUUCGGGUAUGGUAAGAGCACUCUGAAGAGACUGCCUGGGAUAACCAGGAGGAAGGCGGAGAUGACGUCAAGUCAGUACGGCCUUUAUGCCCUGGGCUACACACGUGUUACAAUGGCCGGUACAGUGAGUUGCCAACCCGCGAGGGGGAGCUAAUCUCUAAAAACCGGCCCCAGUUCGGAUUGGAGUCUGCAAUUCGACUCCAUGAAGUUGGAAUCGCUAGUAACGGCGGAUCAGCACGCUGCCGUGAAUACGUUCCCGGGCCUUGUACACACCGCCCGUCAAGCGAUGGGAGUCUGGGGUACCCGAAGUCCUACGUAGGUAGGCCGAAGGUAAAACUGGCGACUGGCGCUAAGUCGUAACAAGGUA